AUUGAACGCUGGCGGCAGGCCUAACACAUGCAAGUCGAGCGGAUGAAGGGAGCUUGCUCCUGGAUUCAGCGGCGGACGGGUGAGUAAUGCCUAGGAAUCUGCCUGGUAGUGGGGGAUAACGUCCGUAAACGGGCGCUAAUACCGCAUACUUCCUGAGGGAGAAAGUGGGGGAUCUUCGGACCUCACGCUAUCAGAUGAGCCUAGGUCGGAUUAGCUAGUAGGUGGGGUAAAGGCCUACCAAGGCGACGAUCCGUAACUGGUCUGAGAGGAUGAUCAGUCACACGGGAACUGAGACACGGUACAGACUCCUACGGGAGGCAGGAGUGGGGAAUAUUGGAAAAUGGGCGAAAGCCUGAUAGAGACAUGCCGCGUGUGUGAAGAAGGUCUUCGGAUUGUAAAGCACUUUAAGUUGGGAGGAAGGGCAGUAAGUUAAUACCUCGCUGUUUUGACGUUACCAACAGAAUAAGCACCGGCUAACUUCGU
This 483-nucleotide ribosomal RNA is filed under the name uncultured bacterium. RNAcentral describes it as "partial 16S ribosomal RNA". It matches the Rfam family "Bacterial small subunit ribosomal RNA", at positions 30 to 506 of the family's 1533-position model. The record is from RNAcentral.